Long non-coding RNA from Bufo gargarizans (Asiatic toad), 434 nucleotides. RefSeq lists it as uncharacterized. The record is from RefSeq and is a predicted model, not a curated record. The transcript is spliced from 4 exons. NCBI's taxonomy places the organism in Eukaryota, Metazoa, Chordata, Amphibia, Anura, Bufonidae.
GUCUGUCAGGAUUACUGGGGCAGGUAAUCAGUCAGUGAGGACAGAAUCUGCCUUCUCAGGACUGGAGGAAGUUUGUCCUGGACGGUGACCCGUAGUUUCCAGCUACAGAGGAACUAGGAGCUGAAUCGGGAUGAUCAAGAGGAGACAUCAGAUGAGGAGGGUGGUGGCUGUAGCAGCAAUAAAGAGCACAGGAAACGGAAGGCCCAAACCUCCAAGAGGAGUGACAGGGGCAGAUCUCCUGCUCAGGUUCCUACAAUAUAGGAUCCGCUCAGUGGAUAUCCUCUGCUAAUUGGCCCGUGAAGGAUGAAUAAGGACAGUGACAAGAUGGCAGAGAGUAUAAUAAAUCUCACCCUGGAGAUCCUCUUACCGGCUUACUGGAGAGGACUACACAGUAGUGAAGAAGACCUCUAGUGAACGCUGUCAGGCCCCCGUGU